GGACAGAAGGGAGCUUUGCUCCCGGAUGUACGCGGCGGACGGGUUGACUACCACGUGGGUACCCUGCUUUUAAGACUGGAAUAACUCCGGGAAACCGGAGCUAUUACCCGGAUUGUUCCUUGAUCGGCAUGGUUCAAGGGUGAAAGACGGUUUCGGGCUGUCACUUACAGAUGGACCCGCGGCGCAUUAGCUAGUGUGUGAGGUAACGCCUCCCCAAGGCGACGAUGCGUAGCCGACCUGAGAGGGUGAUCGGCCACACGGGGACUGAGACACGGCCCAGACUCCUACGGGAGGCAGCAGUAGGGAAUCUUCCGCAAUGGACGAAAGUCUGACGGAGCAACGCCGCGUGAGUGAUGAAGGUUUUCGGAUCGUAAAGCUCUGUUGUUAGGGAAGAACAAGUGCAAGAGUAACUGCUUGCACCUUGACGGUACCUAACCAGAAAGCCACGGCUAACUACGUGCCAGCAGCCGCGGUAAUACGUAGGUGGCAAGCGUUGUCCGGAAUUAUUGGGCGUAAAGGGCUCGCAGGCGGUUUCUUAAGUCUGAUGUGAAAGCCCCCGGCUCAACCGGGGAGGGUCAUUGGAAACUGGGAAACUUGAGUGCAGAAGAGGAGAGUGGAAUUCCACGUGUAGCGGUGAAAUGCGUAGAGAUGUGGAGGAACACCAGUGGCGAAGGCGACUCUCUGGUCUGUAACUGACGCUGAGGAGCGAAAGCGUGGGGAGCGAACAGGAUUAGAUACCCUGGUAGUCCACGCCGUAAACGAUGAGUGCUAAGUGUUAGGGGGUUUCCGCCCCUUAGUGCUGCAGCUAACGCAUUAAUCACUCCGCCU
RNAcentral lists this ribosomal RNA (828 nucleotides) under Bacillus stratosphericus. Its description in RNAcentral is "bacterial SSU rRNA". It matches the Rfam family "Bacterial small subunit ribosomal RNA", at positions 67 to 874 of the family's 1533-position model. Lineage: Bacteria; Bacillati; Bacillota; Bacilli; Caryophanales; Bacillaceae. The record is from RNAcentral.